Molecule: ribosomal RNA, 1372 nt
Filed under: uncultured bacterium
Lineage: Bacteria
Description: bacterial SSU rRNA
Rfam family: Bacterial small subunit ribosomal RNA
Source: RNAcentral
GAUGAACGCUGGCGGCGUGCCUAAUACAUGCAAGUCGAGCGAACGGGUGAGAAGCUUGCUUCUCUGAUGUUAGCGGCGGACGGGUGAGUAACACGUGGAUAACCUACCUAUAAGACUGGGAUAACUUCGGGAAACCGGAGCUAAUACCGGAUAAUAUUUUGAACCGCAUGGUUCAAAAGUGAAAGACGGUCUUGCUGUCACUUAUAGAUGGAUCCGCGCUGCAUUAGCUGGUUGGUAAGGUAACGGCUUACCAAGGCAACGAUGCAUAGCCGACCUGAGAGGGUGAUCGGCCACACUGGAACUGAGACACGGUCCAGACUCCUACGGGAGGCAGCAGUAGGGAAUCUUCCGCAAUGGGCGAAAGCCUGACGGAGCAACGCCGCGUGAGUGAUGAAGGUCUUCGGAUCGUAAAACUCUGUUAUUAGGGAAGAACAUAUGUGUAAGUAACUGUGCACAUCUUGACGGUACCUAAUCAGAAAGCCACGGCUAACUACGUGCCAGCAGCCGCGGUAAUACGUAGGUGGCAAGCGUUAUCCGGAAUUAUUGGGCGUAAAGCGCGCGUAGGCGGUUUUUUAAGUCUGAUGUGAAAGCCCACGGCUCAACCGUGGAGGGUCAUUGGAAACUGGAAAACUUGAGUGCAGAAGAGGAAAGUGGAAUUCCAUGUGUAGCGGUGAAAUGCGCAGAGAUAUGGAGGAACACCAGUGGCGAAGGCGACUUUCUGGUCUGUAACUGACGCUGAUGUGCGAAAGCGUGGGGAUCAAACAGGAUUAGAUACCCUGGUAGUCCACGCCGUAAACGAUGAGUGCUAAGUGUUAGGGGGUUUCCGCCCCUUAGUGCUGCAGCUAACGCAUUAAGCACUCCGCCUGGGGAGUACGACCGCAAGGUUGAAACUCAAAGGAAUUGACGGGGACCCGCACAAGCGGUGGAGCAUGUGGUUUAAUUCGAAGCAACGCGAAGAACCUUACCAAAUCUUGACAUCCUUUGACAACUCUAGAGAUAGAGCUUUCCCCUUCGGGGGACAAAGUGACAGGUGGUGCAUGGUUGUCGUCAGCUCGUGUCGUGAGAUGUUGGGUUAAGUCCCGCAACGAGCGCAACCCUUAAGCUUAGUUGCCAUCAUUAAGUUGGGCACUCUAAGUUGACUGCCGGUGACAAACCGGAGGAAGGUGGGGAUGACGUCAAAUCAUCAUGCCCCUUAUGAUUUGGGCUACACACGUGCUACAAUGGACAAUACAAAGGGCAGCGAAACCGCGAGGUCAAGCAAAUCCCAUAAAGUUGUUCUCAGUUCGGAUUGUAGUCUGCAACUCGACUACAUGAAGCUGGAAUCGCUAGUAAUCGUAGAUCAGCAUGCUACGGUGAAUACGUUCCCGGGUCU